Molecule: small nuclear RNA, 282 nt
Filed under: Ictidomys tridecemlineatus (thirteen-lined ground squirrel)
Lineage: Eukaryota; Metazoa; Chordata; Mammalia; Rodentia; Sciuridae
Description: Spermophilus tridecemlineatus (thirteen-lined ground squirrel) 7SK RNA
Rfam family: 7SK RNA
About the family: 7SK was discovered as an abundant small nuclear RNA in the mid-70s but a possible function has only recently been suggested. Two independent studies have found that 7SK RNA binds the CDK9/cyclin T complex (known as elongation factor P-TEFb).
Source: Rfam by way of RNAcentral
UGGUGUGGGGGAGAUCUGGCUGUGACAUCCAUCACUGCACUGAUCACCAGGGUUGAUGAGGCUGAUCUGGUUGGCUGGUGGGUGUCCCCUUCCCCUCACUUCUCCCCGUGUAUCCCUCCAGAAUUUGUGUGCUAGGAUGAGGGGAACAGGCUGUGGUCAAGGGCAAGGCACAGGUGCAGCUGUGCUCCCCUGCCAGAGCCUCCAAACCAGCUCAAAAAGUCUAGCUUUAAAUGUUUCUUAUUUUUGGAAAGCCCUUCCUAAUUUUGUGCUAAAAAAAUCUUU